RNAcentral lists this ribosomal RNA (510 nucleotides) under uncultured bacterium. RNAcentral describes it as "bacterial SSU rRNA". It matches the Rfam family "Bacterial small subunit ribosomal RNA", at positions 36 to 518 of the family's 1533-position model. The record is from RNAcentral.
CUGGCGGCGUGCCUAAUACAUGCAAGUCGAACGGUCUUUCUAUGGAAGCUUGCUUCCACUGAGAAGAUAGUGGCGAACGGGUGAGUAACACGUGGGUAACCUGCCCAUAAGAGGGGGGAUAACAUCCGGAAACGGGUGCUAAUACCGCAUAGUUUUCUUGAUCGCAUGAUUGAGAAAGGAAAGACGGCCUUUGUGCUGUCGCUUAUGGAUGGACCCGCGGCGUAUUAGUUAGUUGGUGAGGUAACGGCUCACCAAGACGAUGAUACGUAGCCGACCUGAGAGGGUGAUCGGCCACAUUGGGACUGAGACACGGCCCAAACUCCUACGGGAGGCAGCAGUAGGGAAUCUUCCGCAAUGGACGAAAGUCUGACGGAGCAACGCCGCGUGAGUGAAGAAAGGUUUUCGGAUCGUAAAACUCUGUUGUCAGAGAAGAACAAGUUGGAGAGUAACUGCUCCAGCCUUGACGGUAUCUGACCAGAAAGCCACGGCUAACUACGUGCCAGCAGCGGC